AAAGAAAGAAAGGAACAAUGAAAGUAAAAUAAAGAACUUUCUAUUGGUCUCCUGCUUCUUGUUCGUUUCUUACUUUUUUUU
This 81-nucleotide non-coding RNA is filed under the name Palpitomonas bilix. The record is from RNAcentral.